RNAcentral lists this ribosomal RNA (460 nucleotides) under uncultured Bacteroidota bacterium. RNAcentral describes it as "bacterial SSU rRNA". It matches the Rfam family "Bacterial small subunit ribosomal RNA", at positions 338 to 795 of the family's 1533-position model. Lineage: Bacteria; Pseudomonadati; Bacteroidota. The record is from RNAcentral.
CCUACGGGGGGCUGCAGUGAGGAAUAUUGGACAAUGGAUGGAAAUCUGAUCCAGCCAUGCCGCGUGCAGGAAGACGGCCCUAUGGGUUGUAAACUGCUUUUAUAUGGGAGCAAUAAGGUCUACGCGUAGACCGAUGAGAGUACCAUAUGAAUAAGCAUCGGCUAACUCCGUGCCAGCAGCCGCGGUAAUACGGAGGAUGCGAGCGUUAUCCGGAUUUAUUGGGUUUAAAGGGUGCGUAGGCGGCCUUAUAAGUCAGCGGUGAAAUUUUGCAGCUUAACUGUAACAGUGCCGUUGAUACUGUAGGGCUAGGAUUUGGUUGCUGUGGGUGGAAUGUGUGGUGUAGCGGUGAAAUGCUUAGAUAUCACACAGAAUAUCGAUUGCGAAGGCAGCUCACAAAGCCAAGAUUGACGCUGAGGCACGAAAGUGUGGGGAUCAAACAGGAUUAGAUACCCCGGUAGUC